AUAUCUCUCCGUACGGGAAGGAUGAGAAGCUUCGACUAAGGUUCGAUUCGAGCGCAGCGAGAACGCGU
This 68-nucleotide small RNA is filed under the name Salmonella enterica subsp. enterica serovar Heidelberg. RNAcentral's name for it is "partial RtT sRNA". It matches the Rfam family "RtT RNA", at positions 1 to 68 of the family's 130-position model. Rfam says of the family: This family represents a bacterial cis-regulatory element known as RtT RNA. The exact function of RtT is unknown although it is thought that it may be involved in changing the cellular response in relation to amino acid starvation. The record is from RNAcentral. Lineage: Bacteria; Pseudomonadati; Pseudomonadota; Gammaproteobacteria; Enterobacterales; Enterobacteriaceae. RNAcentral also lists the same sequence under 6 other names.